UACAGAGGGUGCAAGCGUUAAUCGGAAUUACUGGGCGUAAAGCGCGCGUGGGCCGUCGAGUAAGUCGGAUGUGAAAUCCCCGGGCUUAACCUGGGAAUUGCAUUCGAUACUGCUUGACUAGAGUGUGGAAGAGGGAAGCGGAAUUUCCGGUGUAGCGGUGAAAUGCGUAGAUAUCGGAAGGAACACCAGUGGCGAAGGCGGCUUCCUGGUCCAACACUGACGCUGAGGCGCGAAAGCGUGGGGAGCGAACAGG
This 253-nucleotide ribosomal RNA is filed under the name uncultured bacterium. Its description in RNAcentral is "partial 16S ribosomal RNA". It matches the Rfam family "Bacterial small subunit ribosomal RNA", at positions 524 to 776 of the family's 1533-position model. The record is from RNAcentral.